Molecule: long non-coding RNA, 529 nt
Organism: Bombus pascuorum
Lineage: Eukaryota; Metazoa; Arthropoda; Insecta; Hymenoptera; Apidae
Exons: 3
Source: RefSeq, a predicted model, not a curated record
UAGAAUCUUGAUGACCCAUUAACAAUAGGACACCGCCAAAGGGGACAAGAUUAGACACGUAAGUAAUAUUUUUAGUAGAGAAAGAAAUUUUAUGAAAAAGAGUACGUAAAUCAGGGAAAGUGUGGGUGCUCGGAGGAAUAGUAUGUAGUUCGUCAUCUCUCUCGGCUCAGUUCGGCUAGCUUCGCCGCUUAUGCAACAGUCCCGCGUCCUGUGCACGUGCUUGCGACCACGUGGACAUUGGUCACGUUACGCUGGCCAAUAUUACUGAAAAUGGAAUUAUUCUUACGUAGCCGCGUAAGCUCGUAACGACAAAACCUAUCGGACCCGUAGAGGCCACGAUGACCGACACGUGAACAUCGCUUUUGGAUUGCCGGGUCUUCCCCUACGGUUACAUUUGCAAAUUGUAAAGCCCGGGAGGAGUUUGUAACAAGCAACGAUUGAGAGAGCAGAAUGAAGUGGUUGAUGCUGAGGUUUCGAGGUUUCGAGCUUCAGAUUUAUGGAUUUAGGAUAUGAAAGAAAAGAUUUCGAA